Oryctolagus cuniculus (rabbit) is the source of this 1845-nucleotide long non-coding RNA. The record is from Ensembl. Lineage: Eukaryota; Metazoa; Chordata; Mammalia; Lagomorpha; Leporidae.
GAUCCCAGCCUUCUCUAUGUUUGCUGAGUCUAGCUGUGCAAGUCUUCAUUAUCUCCGGUAAUGGGUAUGGGUUCUUUCACCAACCCAUACUUGAUGGCUUUAUGGGGUUCUCUCCAAGAUUCAGGCUUUACAAGUUGCAAUCCUCAAGAGCUCUUACUCUUUAAAGUCCAAGUUUAAAUCAUGACCCAGAGGUCCUAGAACAGCACAGAGCACAUGGUGUUUUCUUUCCUACUACUUGUGUUCAGGGUUAUCACUCGUCAUGCUUAGGCACCACUGUGGCCUCACAGGAUGAAAGCUCCCUCCACUUACGUUCUCCUCUCUUGCUCGUGAAUUGUACUGUUUCUUUGCAGGUGAAUCUUAAGUAGGCCCUGAAAAGAGGAACUCAUGGUCAGAUUUCACCCUUGGCUCCCAAGUGAAUGACGCAGAACACCGUGGAAAGCCGUGUCAACACAAUCACUGUCACUAAUGAUUAUUUAUCCAGUUCCAACCCUGCUGCUCUUCUCUGCAGGCUGUGUGCUGGCGAGCGCUGCGUGGGUAACAAAUACGGGUCCCAAUGUCACGAAAACAGGACGACAGCCUUAUGCAAGUACCAAGAAGCUGAGGCUCCCUGCCGGUGGAGAGGGAACACCUGUGGGUGACUAGACCUCGUCAGUAAGAAGUCCGUGAGGUACGUAGCAGGGGAUACCUCCUUGGCUCGGUGGAACAGACAGAGAACCAGGGCCAGGAAGGGGGGGGGGGGCAGAAGAGGGAAGCAGUGAAAAAGCACACAGCAGCUCAGGGAGUGGAGAAGGGGCAAGAGGGGAGUGUGUCUGCGAGACAGGAGCACGUGGUGUGUCCUCCCUGGUCUAUGGGGAAUGUGUAGCCCAGGCUCCCAGGCACCCAGGCGCUGUGGGCAUUCUUCUUGGCCCUUGGGGAUAUGUGCUUUGUGUUCCCCUGCCAUGGGGGGUGCUGAUGGAGCCCUAAUGAGUAGAGGACACCCCUGGAGAAAGGCCAGGCAUUAGGAUGCAGUGGCUGCGGGGUGAGGCACCUGCUGGAGUUUGCAAAGCUGAGGAGCUGGAGCUGCUCGGGGAGGCUCCCCAUGUUUUGUACAAACAGUUCCUGCUCAUUUUUUCUGAAAGGCUGAUUUGAUCACAUGCUUGGAGCCUGCUCCUCUGAGGCCUAGGGAAGGCUGGAGACGCAGUGCUGUCUUCCCAAGACUCAUCUCCACCUGCUGCCUCUGAUUGCAUUUCCAGAGCCCUCCUCCUCCUCCUCCACCUCCUCCUCCUCCUCCACUUCCUCCUCCUGGUAGGCUGGAGCCAGCCAGGGCAGUGAUCCUGGACCCUCCUCUGUCCUGGUAACGCCUCCCGUGACAUCACUCCUGAACCACCCACUGCUCAGGACGUCCUGUGGCCCCAUGUCCCUGGGACACUUCUUGGAAUUCUCUGCCACCCUAAUUUCCUCUCUGUCACCCUAAUUUCCUCUCUGCCACCCUAAUUUCCUCUCUGCCACUUUUCACCCCAGUGCAUCUUAAUUGCCAAGAAUUAAGAUUUAGUAGCUGAGAGGCUGGCACUGUGGCUCAGUGGGUUAAAGCCCUGCCCUGAAGCGCCAGCAUCCCAUAUGGGUGCUGGUUCUAGGCCUGGCAGCUCCUCUUCUGAUCCAGCUCUCUGCUAUGGCCUAGGAAAGCAGUAGAAGACGGCCCAAGUCCUUGGGCCCCUGCACCCAUAUGGGAGACCCAGAAGAAGCUCCUGGCUCCUGGUUUCAGAUUGGCACAGCUCUGGCUGUUGCAGCCAUCUGGGGAGUGAACCAGAGGAUGGGAGACCUCUCUCUGUAACUCUGUCUUUCAAAUAAAUAAAAUAAAUCUUUCCA